GCUUGGAUGGCUCAGUUGGUUAGAGCGCAGGUCUCAUACGAGUGUAUGACCAUCACCAGAUGGGUAAUCCUGAGGUCGUGAGUUCGAUCCUCACUCCGAGCA
RNAcentral lists this transfer RNA (102 nucleotides) under Lentinus tigrinus ALCF2SS1-7. Its description in RNAcentral is "tRNA-Met". It matches the Rfam family "tRNA". Rfam says of the family: Transfer RNA (tRNA) molecules are approximately 80 nucleotides in length. The record is from RNAcentral. Lineage: Eukaryota; Fungi; Basidiomycota; Agaricomycetes; Polyporales; Polyporaceae. RNAcentral also lists the same sequence under 1 other name.